Molecule: long non-coding RNA, 528 nt
Organism: Oncorhynchus tshawytscha (Chinook salmon)
Lineage: Eukaryota; Metazoa; Chordata; Actinopteri; Salmoniformes; Salmonidae
Exons: 4
Source: RefSeq, a predicted model, not a curated record
UGAAUCUGUAAGUCCCUGUGUUGAACAGUAAAGACUGUUUUCUUCUGUUUCAGAGGCGCUGAAGAGAACAGACACAGAGCUACAGAAAGCAUGCUUGGUGGAGGCGGUGCGUAUCCUGGACGGUGUGUGUGUGGAGGAUGCAGGGUGUGUGUAUCGUGCGUUCCCGUGUGUUAAGUCACUGUUCGGCCGUCUGAACUCUGACCUGUCCUGCAGCAGAGUCCUCCUGCCCAUCGCUCAGUUCUACCUGAACCACGGGGAGACUGCAGCGGUGGACAGUGAGUGUGUGUGGAGGUGUGUGUUUGGUGUUCUCCCAGCAGAGUGUUUCAACGACCCCUAUCUGGCCCACGAGACGCUGUCCUUCAUCAGAGCCAAUCAGCUGCAGCUCCACUCCUCUGUACCACUGUACACACACUACUUCCUAGCCUGCUCAAGUUCCUAGCGUGGGACAGUCCAGGCCUGGUAUCUGACUAUGUGGAUGUGCUGCCCUCUCUGGUCACGGCUGGGACUGCAGUUGAGCUGCUGCACUCU